RNAcentral lists this ribosomal RNA (434 nucleotides) under uncultured bacterium. RNAcentral describes it as "bacterial SSU rRNA". It matches the Rfam family "Bacterial small subunit ribosomal RNA", at positions 608 to 1042 of the family's 1533-position model. The record is from RNAcentral.
CUAAACUGAGGAAAGUCGGCCGAAACUGAUCGACUCGAGGAACGUAGAGGGAAGCGGAACUCUCGGAGUAGCGGUGAAAUGCGUAGAGACCGAGAGGUACCCCGAUGGUGAAGACAGCUUCCUGGGCGUUUCCUGACGCUGAAGCGCUAAGGCCAGGGGAGCGAAGGGGAUUAGAUACCCCCGUAGUCCUGGCUUCAAACGAUGUGGGCUUGGUGUCGGCCCCCGACAGAGGGUCGUUGCCGGAGCUAACGUGUUAAGCCCACCGCCUGGGGAUUACGUCCGCAAGGAUGAAACUCAAGGGAAUUGACGGGGGCCCACACAACCGGUGGAGCACGUGGUUUAAUUCGAUGAUAAGCGAAGAACCUUACCAGGGCUUGACCUAGCGGCAGUAGGACCCCGAAAGGGGAACGACCUCAAGCUUUGCUUGAGGAGCC